UACAGAGGGUGCGAGCGUUAUUCGGAAUUACUGGGCGUAAAGCGUGCGUAGGCGGUAGAGUAAGUCAGAUGUGAAAGCCCCGGGCUCAACCUGGGAAUUGCAUUUGAGACUGCUCUGCUCGGGUGCGGAAGAGGGAAGCGGAAUUUCCGGUGUAGCGGUGAAAUGCGUAGAUAUCGGAAGGAACACCAGUGGCGAAAGCGACUUCCUGGUCCGACACCGACGUUCAGGCACGAAAGCGUGGGGAGCAAACAGG
This 253-nucleotide ribosomal RNA is filed under the name uncultured bacterium. RNAcentral describes it as "partial 16S ribosomal RNA". It matches the Rfam family "Bacterial small subunit ribosomal RNA", at positions 524 to 776 of the family's 1533-position model. The record is from RNAcentral.